RNAcentral lists this long non-coding RNA (259 nucleotides) under Linum usitatissimum (flax). RNAcentral's name for it is "long non-coding RNA (LUSI_LNC003242)". The record is from RNAcentral. Lineage: Eukaryota; Viridiplantae; Streptophyta; Magnoliopsida; Malpighiales; Linaceae.
GAGUCUGAAAGCCUGAAUCGAUUUAUUCCGUUGGUUGGGUUUUUAUACUGAAACCCAACGGUAACUUCAACAGUAAAAACAAAAUUAUAAACGCGGGUAAAAAACACGUGUUCACGUUUGAUACAUCAACGAUUAAAACAUAAACGGAAAUAAACGGAAGGUAAACGGAAGGCCAAAACUCGUCGUUUCAUUAAAUCUCUUCUCUUCUUUCUCGACGUUGACCAACGGUCUUCCUUCUAACACCGUGUGUUCUUCGCUG